AGAGAUCUUUACGACUAACGUUACAAAAAAUUAUUUACACGACUUUAUUGUCAUAGCAUUUAGGUCGUGUAAACAUUUUUUUGUUACUUUGGCUGUAAAUUUCUCUUUGACGUCGACUGUACCUAAGCCGGUUUUCUGAAAGGAAAAACUCAGCGCAAAAAGUAAAAAAAAAAACGAAAAAGUUCACCGAUGGCGGGAAUAGAACCCAAGUCUCAAGCGAACACUUUGUCCUAAGUCAAACAUACCUAAGCUGCUUGCUAGAUUCAGACCAGACAUGCAAGUGUUAUAUUUUAAAUGUCCAACAGCUAUGAAAUUAUGAUUUUAAAAUAACACUUUGCAAGUCUUUGCUUUGAAAAACACUGCAGCGUUACCUUGGUCUUACUCUGCCACCCUAGUUAGUAAGCAUGCUAAAAGCAGUUUUUCGGAAUUAUUUGUCGAUUAAUGUCUAUAAGGAAAAAUUACGAAUUAUAAUAAUGUAAAAAAAAACCGCCCAAGUGCAUGUUAGUAUCGUGCACGAAGGGACUCCGUUACUCAAAAAAGGGAAAAAAUGACGUUUGUUGUAUGGGAGCCCCAUUUAAAUAUUUAUUAUAAUGUGUUUUUAGUAUUUGUUGUUAUAGCGGCAACAGAAAUACAUCAUCUGUGAAAAUUUCAACUGCCUAGCUAUCACGGUUCAUGAGGUACAGCCUGGUGACAGACAGACGAACAGACAGUCUCAGAUAACGGUUAAGUAUACUAUUCAGUUAUAUAUUACUGUGACAGAGACAUUGGGCGUUUCGUUCGCUACGGAGUGUGAACGAUUUGCAACUUGGCUAUGCACCCAGCUACCUCGCACAUCUCUGGUGGAAACGCAGCCUAAACCUGAGAUGUUAAGACAUCGCCUUGGUUACAUUUAUUUCGAAAAUACAAUUCGCGAUAUCUUUUUUUCGGUACCUACUAUUCUCAUUUAGACUUUUAGUUUCAUUUUUGUACUUCGUUAUUGAUACUUUUAGUUUUUUAAAUUUCUUGACAAUAAUAGGUAUUUAGACAUUUUAGACGUUAUUAUUUUAAGUCAUUUUUCCUUACGACAUUAGUCGCCUGAUUCGUUUUCCGUUCCACAUAAUAUCAGGACACCGUUAUGUCCGUUACCAAUAUACUUUUUAAGAGGAAAGACGACGAAAAAAUAUUAAGCAUUGAAUAUUAUCGGCAAUUCAAGGCAAAUAUUUUUUUUUAUUUUUAAAAUAUUGUUAAGAAUCUUCUGAUAUUUUGUAAACGAAAAAAAUAACGGAAAAAAAAUAACAAACAAAAAGUUCACCCUAGGGAUUCGAACCCGGGGUCACAAUGCGUGUACACUUUAUGAAACCAUGGUUUCAACCUUAUUACAAAAAGCAUAAGGUCCACAGUUGGAUAGUUAAGAGUAUUGCUGUUUGUACCUAAGCCGAUACUGCUACCGGCAGACAGGUAGAAUAACGUUUUUCGAUUUUGUGAUUUUGGCUGUAGUAGACCCUCAGAUAUCAUUCGCGCGCCAAAAGGCUAGGUGUAAAUUACAUUACGACUAUUACGAGUAAUAAAAGCCCGAUAUAAGUCGGUCAUAAAAAAAAUUGUUUAUUUCCGAAAAACAUUUCUUGGAUACAGUUAUAACAAAGCAUACUAAAGCAAUUCACAUGUACCUUACUUAUUGUGUACCUACUUAACUGACGGAAGGGGCGCAGCUAUAAGUUAGUUAUCGACAGUGAUAUCAGCAUUUCACUUCUACUCUACGUACCUAUUGUUUACGUACCUAUUAAGCGACGGGCGAUACGUAUUAAUAUGUGAAACUAGACGAGUUUAUUUUCGAAUAGAGAUAGAAAUAAAUCUAAUUAUUUUACUACAAAUAGGUGUACCUAAGUAUAGUUUGUCAAAAGACAUACUGUAUUAACAUGAAAGGUAUUGAAAUCUGUAAUUAUAUAGUUUGGUAAACAAGUAAUUGUCAGUAAAAAACUGUUACGGAAAAGAGAGUACUGAGCUAUAACCGCGAAAAUCAAAGGUUCGCAAAUUGUGGGGAUCUUUCUCUUUUACUCCAAUGAAGGCAUAAUUCUUCAUUGCAGUAAAAGAGAAAGAUCCCCGCAAUUUGCGAAUUUCGGUUUUUGCGAUAGCCUCUCUGUUCUUUCUGCUUAAAAUGCUCCACUGACAAACGACUCUUCCCAAACUAUAGAUUACAGGUAAACCUACCUGGUAGGUAGGGUUUACCUAGUUUAUUUAAAGUUAGCAAAUAUCUACCUAAGUUAACAAUGUAACGAUAGGUAUAUGGUCUGGCAAACCAAAUUUGUUAGUAGAAAAGGCGGCAAAUUGAAAAAAAAAUGGCGGGAAUAUUCUAUCAUCUCCCAUAUGAAAUUUGAAUUUUGCACCUAAAUGCUUGGUUUGCCAGGCGAUAUUAGAUAUGUACUUACCUGUAUUUGGUUACAUGUGGCCACUACAAGUGUAUAAGUGGGUGAAUCAACCUGUUUUCCCACUCAUUGCCAUAGUUAUGGUUUUCUGAACUACAAAACAAUAGGUACUCAUUCCUUUCUUUUGGGUGCUAGUAUUAGCGUAACACUACAAAGACUCUUUCUGAAAGAUUAUUUGCCUAAAGUGUCAUUCUAUGGAACUUGCUAACUACUUAUGUAAACAAAAGUCGGAAGGAAGUUCAUCAUUCAGAGACAAUUUCAAUGUUUACGUAGUUGUAUGUUUACAUAGUUAGCAAGUUCCAUAGAAUGACACUUUAUGUAUGAUAUGAGACAGUCCCUGGACACAAUAGGGCUUAUUACACUUAUUCUGCCUUCAGACGGCUGACGAUUGCCCCGAUAUCGGGCAAGAAUCGUUUUCCGUUUCAUGUGGUUUCAUGAAAUAUUGUCACAUAGUUCACAAUAUUUCUUGGUGUAAAAAAUAGUUCAACUACAAAAGUAUCAACCAUGUUUGCCAAUUCGAGACAAAGUAUUUGUUACAAUUGAAAUAUUGUUGACGAUGUCCUUAUAUUUCGUGAAACGCAAAACGAUCUUGCUCGGGCGCACCGUCGGCCACGAUCGCAUUAAGGCCCGACGGUGUGGAAGUGUAAUAAGCGCUUAUAAUGUACAUAACGUCAAGGAAUAGUUGACUCACCCAUUUUUUUAGUAGUUGUGACGUGGCUUCGCCAGUCUCCUUUGUGUCUUUUGAGAGUGUGUGGUACAUGUAUGGUAACGAAUAUUGUCAGCUAGAGGUCGGUUCUGUAACUUCCAACAACUUCUGUAAACAGGAUUGUCGUCCGUACAAACAUAGCUAACGUAAUGUUACAUUUUAAGUAAAAAUUAAGGAUGACUCACGCUAGACCGGGCGGGAUCCGAGCCGAGGCGUUCGACACGUCAUUUUCUAUGACGGCUGAUCGGUGUUCACGUGGUGCUUUCCAUAUAAAACGAAGCGCUGGUACUCCGGCUCGGUCUCAGCCCUGUCUGAUCUGCCCAGGUGAUCUCCUUAUUAGAAAUAUAAGGACUAAAUAUAUCCUGUCACAAGUGUAACAGGAUAAUUUCUGCUGAGAGGGACAGCUCUUGUUAGCAGAAAGUAUCCGGUAGCAGAAAAGGUAUAAUCGAGAUGAUUCCUCCGACGAUCUCACUCCUCACAUUUUUUUUAGACAGAAUAGCAUAAUAAAUAGCUAGUAUUUAUUUGUGACUAUAUCCUAGAGCCUCAGCGCCCGUUUUUGUACCCGUUUACUAUCUGUGAAUUAUGUAGAAUAUUGUAAAAUAUAGGUAGUAGGCAAUAUAAAUUGUGACUACCUGAUAGUUAUAUGUUUUUUUUUUAUAAUCAGGCAGACCACUAAGCUUAUACUGUUUAACUUAGGUAUUUUUAGACACUCGCGCGACUUGUAGGUACCUAUACAAACACCACCACCAGACCAGUACAAACGGCAAAUAUCAAUUUACGCUUUUCCUACUGACAUAUUGGUUUGCCACUUACAAUUAUAAUGUACCUACCUGAAAUAUGCUUACAGUAUCGAUUGCAAUGUAUUAUUAGUUACUGCAAUAAAGAAUUUGUAUUUCCAGUUCGAUUGUCAAAGGCUCCAUUAGUAAGUACCUAGGUGAUCAUAGGUCCUAGAUCCGGAUCAUCCGGGGGCUUACGAGAACUUGCUUACUCGUCGAGAUAUGACGAGUAUAUUGUAUUUUAAAUUGUUAAAAGAUUUUUAUAGUACUUUUUGUUGUGUUGCUGUAACUUUGUUAGUGGAUUUGUUUAAAAUUACUGUUAAAUGUUAUAAAAUUUGGUAAAUAAAGUAAUUUAACCAUUUUAAAA
This is a long non-coding RNA of Cydia fagiglandana, 4251 nucleotides long. RefSeq lists it as uncharacterized. The record is from RefSeq and is a predicted model, not a curated record. Lineage: Eukaryota; Metazoa; Arthropoda; Insecta; Lepidoptera; Tortricidae. The transcript has 2 exons.